GACGAACGCUGGCGGCGUGCUUAACACAUGCAAGUCGUACGGAAAGGCCCUUUCUGGGGUACACGCGCGGCGGACGGGUGAGUAACACGUAAGUAACCUUCCCGCACCUUUCGUAUACCGCUCGUAAACUGGUUCGAAUACUUAAUAUGUACUACUGCUUGCUGGUGGGUGUUGGAUAGCUCGUGCGGUUGGGUGUGGAUGGACUGGCGGUCUGCUUGGUUGUUGGUUGGGGAGUGGCUUACCAAGGGACUGACGGGUAGCCGGCCUGAGAGGGUGACCGGGCAAAUUGGGACUGAGAGAAGGCCCCGACCCCCACGGGAGGCAGGAGGGGGGAAUAUUGGACAAUGGGCGCAAGCCUGAUGGAGGAACGCCGCGGGCGGGAGGACGGCCUUCGGGUUGGAAACCGCUUUCAGCAGGGAAGAAGCUUUUUGUGACGGUACCUGCAGAAGAAGCACCGGCUAACUACGUG
Molecule: ribosomal RNA, 469 nt
Filed under: uncultured bacterium
Lineage: Bacteria
Description: partial 16S ribosomal RNA
Rfam family: Bacterial small subunit ribosomal RNA
Source: RNAcentral